Molecule: ribosomal RNA, 268 nt
Filed under: uncultured bacterium
Lineage: Bacteria
Description: partial 16S ribosomal RNA
Rfam family: Bacterial small subunit ribosomal RNA
Source: RNAcentral
GUCCACGCCCUAAACGAUGUCAACUAGGUGUUGGGAGGGUAAACCUUUUAGUACCGGAGCUAACGCGUGAAGUUGACCGCCUGGGGAGUACGGCCGCAAGGUUAAACUACAAAGGAAUUGACGGGGACCCGGCACAAGCGGUGGAUGAUGUGGAUUAAAUUCGAUGCAACGCGAAAAACCUUAACCUACCCUUGACAUGUCCAGAAGCUCUUAGAGAUUUGAGUGUGCCCGAAAGGGAGCUGGAACACAGGUGCUGCAUGGCUGUCGU